Mycena leptocephala is the source of this 93-nucleotide non-coding RNA. The record is from the annotation of a GenBank genome assembly. NCBI's taxonomy places the organism in Eukaryota, Fungi, Basidiomycota, Agaricomycetes, Agaricales, Mycenaceae.
GCCUUUGUAGAUCAAUGUAUAUCAUUUCUCGUUCCAUAAUUGUGAAAGCUGGAUCUCAGGAAAGAGAUGUGGGUUCGAACCCCACCGGAGGCA